Molecule: ribosomal RNA, 406 nt
Filed under: uncultured bacterium
Lineage: Bacteria
Description: bacterial SSU rRNA
Rfam family: Bacterial small subunit ribosomal RNA
Source: RNAcentral
GGCGGACGGGUGGAGUAACGCGUGGGUAACCUGCCUCACACAGGGGGAGUAACAGUUGGAAACGACUGUUAAUACCGCAUAAGCGCACAGUACCGCAUGAUACAGUGUGAAAAACUCCGGUGGUGUGAGAUGGACCCGCGUCUGAUUAGCUAGUUGGCGGGUAACGGCCCACCAAGGCGACGAUCAGUAGCCGGCCUGAGAGGGUGAACGGCCACAUUGGGACUGAGACACGGCCCAAACUCCUACGGGAGGCAGCAGUGGGGAAUAUUGCACAAUGGGGGAAACCCUGAUGCAGCGAACCGCCGCGUGAGCGAUGAAGUAUUUCGGUAUGUAAAGCUCUAUCAGCAGGGAAGAUAAUGACGGUACCUGACUAAGAAGCACCGGCUAAAUACGUGCCAGCAGCAGC